Molecule: long non-coding RNA, 5582 nt
Filed under: Ictidomys tridecemlineatus (thirteen-lined ground squirrel)
Lineage: Eukaryota; Metazoa; Chordata; Mammalia; Rodentia; Sciuridae
Description: lncRNA (ENSSTOG00000030612.1)
Source: RNAcentral
AUGCUCUCGGACAUUACUGUCAUAAAACAGGAUCUAUGUGAUUCUCCUACUGACAGACAGCGACUGCUGCGGGGCCUAGGGUCUACCUUCCGGAGGCGCAGCAAGGCCCACCUGGAGCGGUAUGUCGCCUCCGUGCAGGAUUCCGCCCGGUCGCCACGAGAGAAGUCAAAGAAAGGAUUCUAUUUUGCGAAGCUGUACUAUGAAGCUAAAGAAUAUGAUCUUGCUAAAAAAUACAUAUCUGCCCAUAUUAAUGUGCAAGAGAGGGAUCCCAAAUCUCACAGAUUUUUGGGUCUUCUCUAUGAAGCUGAAGAAAACACAGACAAAGCUGUUGAAUGUGAUAAGCGUUCAGUGUGGCCAACACAGAAAGAUCUUGUGUUGAAGAUUGCAGAAUUACUUUGUAAAAAUGAUGUUACUGAUGGAAGAGCAAAAUAUUGGGUUGAAAGAGCAGCUAAACUUUUCCCAGAAUGUCCUGCAAUUUAUAAGUUAAAGGAACAGCUGUUAGAUUGUAAAGGUGAAGAUGGAUGGAAUAAACUUUUUGACUUGAUUCAGUUAGAACUUUAUACAAGACCUGAUGAGGUCCAUGUGAAUAUACGACUAGUGGAGCUGUACCGAUCAAAUAAGAUUGAAGGACGCUAUGGCCUUACUGUCAUGAGGCAGAGAGGAACAUAGCUUUGCAUUCAAGUUUAGACUGGAAUUUGUGUCUUGUGCAGACCCUUACGGAAUAUCUGGAGUCUUUACAGUGUUUGGAAUCUGAUAAAAAUGACUGGCAAGCGACCAAUAAAGACUUAUUUCUGGCUUAUGCUAACCUUAUGCUACUUAGACUUUCCACCAGAGAUUUUCAAGAAAGUAGAGAAUUACUGGAAAGUUUUGAUAGUGCUCUUCAGUUCUAUGAAAUCCUCUGUAGGUGGAAAUGAUGAACUGUCAGUUACUUUCUUAGAAAUGAAAGGACAUUUCUACGUGCAUGCUGCUUCUCUGCUUUUGAAGAUGGGUCAGCAUAGUGAUGUACAAUGGCGAGCUCUCUCUGAGCUGGCUGCAUUGUGCUAUCUCAUAGCAUUUCAGGUCCUGAGACCAAAGAUUAAAUUAAUAAAAGGAGAAACUGGACAGAAUUUACUGGAAAUAAUGGCCCAUGAUCGUCUCAGCCAAUCAGGGCACAUGUUGCUGAACUUAAGUCGUGGCAAGCAAGAUAUUUUAAAGGAGGUUGUGUAAUCUUUUGCCAAUAAAAGUGGACAGUCUGCCCUGUAUGAUGCUCUGUUUUCUAGUCAAUCACCUAAGGAGAGAUCUUUCCUUGGUAGAGAUGAUAUUGGAAACAUUGAUGUACAAGCUCCAGAGCCUGGUGAUUUGGCUAGAUAUGAUGUUGAUGCUAUUCGAGCACACAAUGGUAGUCUUCAGAUGUUGAGAGCCACGGCCAGGUCAAGAUGGUACCUGGCAUUUUGCCAGAAGGGGCAGCUCCUGCUGCCUCGGGUACCCGCUACUUUUGAGUUCUCACUGAGUUUGCGUGGAUUCUAGAAAAAAGUUUGUUCCUGCUUGAAUCUACAAGUGGCUCGUGACCUCCUUGUUAUUUGUGCCCAGCCAGACUGCGGCACAUUUCUAAUACACUAUCUUUCAACAUCUAUAUUCAUCUCUUGCUAUCUUCAAGAGGUUGAUUCCAGGAUCCCACUUGGACACCAAAACCCAUGGAUGCUUAAAUCCCUUAUUUAAAACUUCAUAGUAUUUGAGUAUAUCUGCACACAUUAUCCUACAUUCUUUAAAUUAUCUCUAAAUUACUUAAAAUAUCUCUAAAUGACUUAAUAUAAUGUAAAUGCCAUGCAAGUAGUUGUUAUGCUAUAUUGUUUAGGGAAUUAUAGCAAAAAAUAAAACAGUCUGUACAUGUUCAGUACAGACAAAUUUUUUCUUUUAACUUUUUUUCUAUCCAAGGUUUGUUAAAUCCUCAGGAUGUAGGACCCACAGGAUAUGAAAGGCCAAUGAACUGACCAUUCCUGGUACCCUUGACCUCCAAAUCAGCAGUCUCCCACAGGUGAAUCUGAGGCAUUCCAACACAUGAAGGUGGAGGUAUCACCAGACUUACUUCUGCACAGAAUGAGCCACACCCUAAAUGCUUAUCUGGCAUGGAGGCAGGGUGACCAGAAUGCAGGAAGGGCAGGGCCCAGGGAAAGGCUGGGAAUAUUGAACACCCAUACCCACAAUAACUCUGAGCACUGGACCAUGUGCUUCAUUCCUGGACUUCUGCCCCAGGACUACACACACCAAGUGGACGAGGCUCUGCCAAGUGACUCCAAGAGGAAAAACAUCCCAGGCUACCUCCAAAGCUGCUCACUCCUUUCUAGUUCCUCCUGGGCCUCUUAACCCAGAAGUGUGAAGGAAGCUGGACCCACACCUCCCCUCAGUUCCCCGGGGCUGAAGAGAAAGGGAAGGAAGACACAGAGGUCGGUCUCCAAGUAACCAGAAAAUGGUGCUGUGUUCUCAGCCCACCUCUGAACAGUAGGGGAAUGGGGAUGGAUCAGGAGGGGUCAAAGGAACUACCCCAGCACCUGGAAGCUUCAUUUGCCAACUUCUCUGAAUAUUUGCUUAUUUUUUAAAAAAAUAAAAUGUUGGAAGGAAGGAAGGUAUAAGGGAUCAAAGUUGUCCCUGAAAAAUUAAAACAUACUUGUUCUGUCCUACCCUUUGAGGCGGAUAAACCAUCCCUCAGCCAUAACCGUGGGGGGGGGGGCCUGGCUCCACUUGGGGACACCCAUUUUCCUUGCCAGUCAAAAGAAAUCCCAACGUGAUAAUAUUUGCCACGCCAAACACCAGUCCAACAAACUUAUUUUACACAUAAUUUCAAAACAUAUUUUGUGUAUGAAACAUGGCCACUGAAAUCCUGGAAUUCCUGCGUUUCCAGAUGGUGGCAGGUGGUUUUUCAAGGAGGGGUGGGAGAGCAUUCCUUCCAGUGAGCUCUUGCAUGGAUGUCCACUCUAACAAAACAGAAGAUUGUGUGAGUCAGUUUUCUGUUGUGACAAGAUACCUGAGAUGAUAAAAUUUUAGGGAGGAAAGAUUUAUUUUGGCUCAUGGUUUUACUUGGGGCCUGUGUUGGCACAGUACCUUAUGGCAGGAACACAGGAUGGAAGAGUUCUGAUCACUUCAUGGUAUCCAGGAAGCAAAAGAGAAAGAGGAAGGGGAGGGAGGGGUCCCAUCAUCCCCUUCCUGAGCAUGCCCCCAAUGUCCUAACUUCCUCCCACUAGGCCACACCUCCCAAUAGGGCUGUGGGCUGAGGACCGAGCCUUUAACACAUGUGUCUUUGGGGGAUAUUCAAUAUCCAAGCUAUCACUAGAGUCUCUUGGGUUGCUAAGAGGAGGGAUCUGGAAUCCUCUGCCUGUCCCACUCCCUGCAGGGUCCCUAUAGGUUGCAUCUAUGAACACCGAAGGAACAGGGACACUUCUGCCCUGCACGGACAGGGACAUGUGGUCAUGUGCUCUUAGUCUCGCUGACACCAAAAAUGGACAUGGAGCCUGGCCCCAACCCCACCCACAGUUCAUCACCUUGGUUAGGGCAGAUACACAUCACAUAGUGUCUGAACUGACUCUGGGGGUCCCCAAAGGAAAGACAAGACCUUAAACCACCAAAGGACACACUGAGCCAAGGUUUUAUUGAGCAGAGGCACUGCCCCUCCUUCUCACAGCUUCCUGUGGUCCUGGAUCCCCAAAGGCCUCAUUGCUCCUCACAGUUGUCUCUCAACCCCACUCUCCCACCCGAAGCAAGUAUCUAGAAUAGUAAGUUACUUUUAUGUGACACAGGGACAAAAAAUGCAUCUUCUUUUAUUCAGUAUAUUCAUCAACAUCAACACCGUUCAUAGACAUUUGCAUUUUUCAUAAGAAAGCCCACAUUUGAAAUAUGGGCUCUUGGUUUUAGGUUAGGGGCUUUGGUGACUGUCAGAGAAUUAAAUCGAGGCUUGAAUCCACAGGCACAGAGCCCUGGAGACCCAUGGAAGGCUGCAAGGGAAUACUUUUGCAAGAUGGAAACCCCGCUCAGUGCAUAUAUUUUUCUGAGAUGCUGUUCCACUGGCACCUUCUCCAGCAUCUCAUGGAGCUUGUUACUGUGCAGUCAAUGAAGAAAGAUUCCUUUUCCAGGCUGGGUCAGACUUUCCAUGAAUUAAGCAUAGGGAGGCCUAAUUAUAUGUCAUUUGAUGAAUGCCUGGGAUGAACUAGUCUAAGGGUACAGAAUGAUAACCUCAUCAACAUCAAGAUCAGAAAGCAUGGGCCCUCUGGCCCUGUGGCCUCAGUGCUGUAGGAAUAUCAGAGGGAAGUUGUACAUUUCCCCACUGACAGAGUUUCAGGGAGCCUCUGCCUGGACAGAGUCACCCUUGCUGCACCUUGGAUCUGUCUAAAGUCACCACAAGUAGGAAGUGCCACAGAAGAAAAAAUAAAAGGCUCAAUGUUAUGGUUGCCUUAGUCAGUUGACUAAUCUGCAAACUGAGACCAAGGUAGAAAGUCGCUCAUUAUUCAUUUAUUAAGUGCCUGCCCUGUUUACUGUUCUAAUACUCGGGGAAUCAGUAGUGAAGAAGAUGGUAUCAUUUCUAUGUCCAUAUCUCAAUGUUCUCUCCCAGAGACAAGUGACUUUAGCCCUAUCCUUCUGAAAGCACUUCUGGAAUGACCUAUGGGUAAAGAAGUGACAACAUUAUUAUUCAGACAAAGAUAAUUUUUUAAAGAGAAAACAACGACUCGUAGUCAAACAUCCAGGAUGGUGGGCACCAACAAGGACUGUCUUGAGCAAAUCAGUAUUGGACAGUAACAUCAAAGGGUUUAUGCAUGUGUGUAUGUGUGUGUGCGCGCACACACACACACACGUGCGCACACACACACAUGUUCAUGUAUCACAGGGUUUUAGAAAGCCUUUUGCAACCUCAAAAACUCUGCAUUCCAUUUGUGCCUGAUCUUUAUCAUGGUGCAAGUGUUUUAAUCCCACAGUCAGAAAUAAGGCUUCCGGCACGUGAAAGCUGUCAGAUUCAGAAUGGAGUCACCCAUGUCAAACCCUGACAGCUGGAGCCAGGAAAGGUCACGGAGGGCUGUCAGCUCAAUUUUCCCAAUAAUGGGCUGUCAGGACAGCAAGCAGCACAAGAACUGUUAACCACUUAUGCACAAAUAACUUGCCUGACUCGCGCUGUCUCGUAAGCCCAAUCCAAUGAAGCAGCCUGCUCUACCUUGUAAGGCUAUUUUUGCUUAAUAACGGAUGGUGAAACUGCCAGCCAUGACCACAAUAGGGGCUUUAUGUAGUAACUGCUGCUCAACAUCAGAGCCUGCUGGCUCCCACAGGCACCAAGAGUGCCAAGGAAAUUUCUUUCAAAAUAACUUGUGGAGAUUCCUCUGUCCUAAUAAAACUGCAGUAGUCUUUUCUUCGUUCUUCAGACAAACUAGAGGCCACCCUGGCCUGUGCUUGUAUUUUUCCAGAUGCAAUCCUAUUCUCUGUUUAUUCCAAGUAAAAGUUUCUUUAUUUGAAGACUCAUCUCUAAAUUUUUGCUUGACUUUGACUCAUGUAUAUACUCCUCCUGGGAGAGGUCAAAACUGAUCUGACUUCAUGCUGAUGGAUCAGGCUUUGAUUGGCAGUGUUGG